CAUGUCUAAGUAUAAGCAAUUAUACCGCGAAACUGCGAAUGGCUCAUUAUAUAAGUUAUCGUUUAUUUGAUAGUACCUUACUACUUGGAUAACCGUGGUAAUUCUAGAGCUAAUACAUGCUAAAAAUCCCGACUUCGGAAGGGAUGUAUUUAUUAGAUUAAAAACCAAUGCCCUUCGGGGCUCACUGGUGAUUCAUGAUAACUCCUCGAAUCGCAUGGCCUUGUGCCGGCGAUGGUUCAUUCAAAUUUCUUCCCUAUCAACUUUCGAUGUUUGGGUAUUGGCCAAACAUGGUUGCAACGGGUAACGGAGGGUUAGGGCUCGACCCCGGAGAAGGAGCCUGAGAAACGGCUACUACAUCCAAGGAAGGCAGCAGGCGCGCAAAUUACCCAAUCCCGACACGGGGAGGUAGUGACAAUAAAUACUGAUACAGGGCUCUUUUGGGUCUUGUAAUUGGAAUGAGUACAAUUUAAAUCCCUUAACGAGGAACAAUUGGAGGGCAAGUCUGGUGCCAGCAGCCGCGGUAAUUCCAGCUCCAAUAGCGUAUAUUAAAGUUGUUGUGGUUAAAAAGCUCGUAGUUGAACCUUGGGCCUGGCUGGCCGGUCCGCCUCACCGCGUGUACUGGUCCGGCCGGGCCUUUCCCUCUGUGGAACCCCAUGCCCUUCACUGGGUGUGGCGGGGAAACAGGACUUUUACUGUGAAAAAAUUAGAGUGCUCCAGGCAGGCCUAUGCUCGAAUACAUUAGCAUGGAAUAAUAGAAUA
This 759-nucleotide ribosomal RNA is filed under the name Fusarium oxysporum. RNAcentral describes it as "SSU rRNA". It matches the Rfam family "Eukaryotic small subunit ribosomal RNA", at positions 54 to 824 of the family's 1831-position model. The record is from RNAcentral. Lineage: Eukaryota; Fungi; Ascomycota; Sordariomycetes; Hypocreales; Nectriaceae.